Molecule: non-coding RNA, 30 nt
Filed under: Rattus norvegicus (Norway rat)
Lineage: Eukaryota; Metazoa; Chordata; Mammalia; Rodentia; Muridae
Source: RNAcentral
UCAACAAAGAAACUGUUCCUGCUGCUUCCA